This 13833-nucleotide long non-coding RNA is filed under the name Heterocephalus glaber (naked mole-rat). RNAcentral's name for it is "lncRNA (ENSHGLG00000045595.1)". Lineage: Eukaryota; Metazoa; Chordata; Mammalia; Rodentia; Bathyergidae. The record is from RNAcentral.
UGGCAUUCCUUCCAGGAGCACCACACUAGUUGGGGCUCCAGGUCUCCCACACUCGGCUCUCGCCCUGCAGAGCGCAGCUCCCCUGGGUGAUUUUCUUGCUGGCUGAGUGGCAGUCAGCACUCUGGGAGGCUGCUGGGUCAGUGUCCUAACUGAGCACUCCAGGAGCAGGGCUAUGCUGCUCCCAGGUCAGCUGCCUGUCCCCAGGAGUUUUGAUGUGUCGUGCUACCUGUGUGGGAAACUGCCUCCUCCUUCGCUGUUCCACUUGUGCCUGACAGCAGUGCAUUUGCAGAAAGGAAAACAGCACUGUCUCCUGAUGCACUCACAGAAGCGUAUCUACUCCCACCCCUGCUGAGGGUCCUCGGGAGUCGAGUCUGGACCGCCGGGGUCAUCUGCCCCAGAGUGAGGAGAACCUGACACCAGUGUCAGGAGGAGGAGGACUGGAACCUGCUCUGAAAUGGCUGGGAGUGGCAGGAUGGACCCCACUCAGACGGAAGGGACCGACCUUCAUAAUCAAUGCCUUGACAACCAAAGCCCGGAAACUCACACAGGGCGGGUGUGAGGCUCAGCCGGAGAGUGUGUGCUUGGCAUGCAUGAGUUCAAGCCCCAGCUGCAAACAGAAGGAAAAGAAAAUACCCAGAAACUUCAUGUAAGGGGAAUCCACCCUGUUUGUUCUGUGUUUGUGGUUGAUUAUGCUUAAUAGAGUGUCUCCAGCAUUCAUCCUUAUAGUAGCACGGCACAAUUCUAUCCGGUACAAUUCUAUCCUCCAGGGCUGUCGUGAUCCCUUAUGCGUACACGAUUUUGCGAGUUUACUCAUCCUGGGUUGGUCCCACCUUUACCACUGUGAACAUAGUGGUGCUUAUCUGUUCGGUUUCUGCUUUCACUUCUUUGGGGUGUGCCAGAGGCGAAAGUGCUGUCCUGGGACUUCACGCUUCAGUCUGGAGCCAGGAGGGUUGUGAGCGCUCCUGGUUCUAAGGCGCAGCCAGAGCCAGGAGCCUGGAGGUCAGGCUGCAGCUGAACUUCCUGCCGUGACUUAGCCCUCUGGGAAGAAGCCACAGCCCAGGUCAGCUAAAGCAGCCUCCCAGAGGGGACCCCACACUGCGUUCCCACUGCCCCGUGAGUCCCAGCAGCGGCAGGUUGGGGGGACCCCUGUGUGCACUGGCACCUCUCAGGUCCCAGCCACGCCCUGCUGGGAAUGCAGACUCUGAGGGCCCAGAGCGGCUUCCUCCCCGCAGCCCUGGUUACUCUAGUAUGCAGCCCGCUCAGACCUGCUGACCCUGUUCAGUCCUGGCAAAAGCGAGAACCCGGCCGAGGUGCAGCUCUGGGGCUCGGGUUGGAUUGCUAAGGGACAUGGUGGUAUUGAGCACAGUGAGGCCACAUUGGUCCUGAGGUGGGAGGAAAAAAUACAGGUAGAAAGGGCGAGGAAAUAAUUGUAAUGUUUGAGAAAACUGCAGCUUCCAGACAAGGUCAAAGUUAUCCAAGGUUCCAGUCCUCUCACCGAGUCCUGUUUCUUUCUUCCAGCUCCGCCCUCCUAAGUUCCUAAGAGUCUUAAGAUCAUGUUAUCCGUAAACCGGAUCUGUGUUUUUCUUCCAGUCCUAUAAAUUCACAAUUCCACGGGCUGCCACCCUUGGGGAAACAGCACCAUUUAUGGGGCACGUUGCCUCUGAACUUCACGUACAUGCUUCUAACAUGCACUCAGUACAUUGAUCUUAACUGAGGUCAUGGGGUCUGGUUUUUCUUUAGCCCACUAAUGGGUAACCUGACAGACUCAGGUAACUUAAGCAUAACUCAAAGGGUAAACAUCCCAGUCACCCAUCUCGAGGACACCCCUAGACCACACAGAUCUCCCCUGGAUCCUAAUCCUGCCAUAAUAUUUGUUUUGAAAUUUGAAUUUGUUUCCAAUACCAGUGAUAUUAGGGAACAUUGACAUAUUAGGGAGGAUUAUUAUUAAUUUUUUUGGUACCGGGGAUCAAACUCGGGUCCCUUGUGCUUGCGCAGCAGGCGGCGAAACCACUGAGCUAAAUCCCCAGCCCUAGGGAGGAUUACUGAUACAUCACACUCCGGGAUCCAUGUAUCACCCUGUCUAGAGUGCUCUCGGGGCUCCCACCCCAAGACACAGGCUUUCUUUGGAUCUUGGGAGAAGCCCCCAGAGCCCAUAACCUGCUCGCAUACCCAGCACACCAGGAAGGCGUGCUGCAGCAGCCUGCGAACCAGGGCCCAGGAAGGCUGAGGUGCUCUGGGCAAGCAAGGCACCCAGGGGUCUGUCUCAAAAGACUCUUGGAACAGACUUUCAGGGGCUCAGAGCGGUGGGCGUGGCCCUGUCCCUUCCUGAGGUGCCCAUGGGGCAUCUUUCCUGUCUGUCAUUCCCCUGCCAAGCAUUUCAUUUACUAACCACAUCCUCCUUGGCCCAAGCCCUGCACCCACCUCCACUUGCAAUCGGACUUCCAUCUUCACAAGCCAGGAGCCACAUCUACUACAGUAUUUAUUUCUUUUCUUUUAUUUUUUUGGUACCAGGGAUCGAACUCGGACCUUGAGCUUGCGAGGAAUGUGGUGGAACCACUGAGCUAAAUCCCUGGCAGUGUUUGUGUAUUUCUUAAUCAUUGAACAUGGCUGACACUCUGCUAUUAUUCUCAUUCGGUUCCGCCUUUUCCUGUGCUGCUGAUGUUGGGAUUUUGCUGUUUUUUGUUUUUGUUUGGUGGCUAGGAUGGGACCCUGGGCCCCUCCCAUGCUAAGCACGUGCUGUCACUGAGUGUGGCCCCUGGCCCCACUGGCCAAGGGCUUUGUGUGGUUUUCUGUUUUGUUUUGUGGGGCCAGGGAUCUAUCAGUGGUGGGUUUUGAAUGUUUUACUCAUUUUCACCAAAACCCUGUGGUUUUUAGCAUGUGGUUAUAUAGUGCCGUGGUUUUCAAGCAGGAGCGCGUAUCUCCUGGUGGAACCAGCCACAGAAGCCAUCCUGCUUUGUAUCAGCCUUGUAAGGAUGCUGAGGAGAUGCUGCCCAUGGAGGAUUUAGAUCUUGUCCCCUUCUGUCCUCUCCUGGCAGCCACCGGACAUAGAGCUCUCUGAUGGGGUGGUGCCUGCCACAGUGGCCAGGGGGAGGAGCAGGUGGCCACAGCACGACCCACUCCCUGCACGUGUGUGCAGUGGCCUCGGGCCACUCCGUCUGCUCUGCUGGGUCCCUGUGUCCAUGUCGCCCAGGCCCUUGCCUGCUGCCCCGUGCCAUGUGGACUCGGGUCUCGAGCUCUGUCUUCCUGAGGCUGGGCUCGGUGUGCAGCAGCCCACCUGGCUCGUGUCCUCUUCAGACAGGAAGAGUCCCUGGGUCACAAAGCACUUACCUCAGUGCAGGGGGCACCGGGCGCACCUCCCUACACCUCUGACCGCAGCGCUGCCUCUCCCGAGACCCCCACGCACAGCUGGCCUGGCCCCUGCCCUCCACCCUGAAAUCCGCUUCCGAGGUAAAAAUGACUCACUUCAAGCCCUUCGGUACUUCACGAGCACACAGGUCUGCGUGGUGUCCAUGAUACAACACAAGCCCGAACAGUUUUCUUUAUGUCUCGUCUGCGUAUUCCGCUGGCUUCAUCCACCGUACUUCACCUUUGGCUUCCCUAUUAGGAACUUGAAUUUCUGCUGUCCUGCUUAUGUGUUGUUAGGGGCUGUCUUUCACUCAUCAUCACCCCAAAGUCAGGGUCAGGCUGCCUGGUUCUAUGGGCACACUUAGAAGCCAGUGCUGAGUCAUCCAAAGACAGAACUGAAACUGAAAACGCUAACUCUGCUCUGAGCUGGCAUUCUCACAGCGGUCUGUUGGCUUUCGCUGUGUGGUUGCCUAAGAUGAGGACUCGUCCUGAGGUUUGGAUAAAACAGGGGCUGCAAAACUGUCAGCAACUUGGGGAGUUAGUGCUUUCCUGCAGAUAGUGGUUCAGCAUCAGAACAUGUUCACCUUUCGGCCGCUGAAAAUCCUCAUUUGUGAAGUCCAAGUUUCUGUUCUCUUUUCCUCUAGAACAGCAGUCAGCAAACUGCAGCCUGUGUUUAGACUGAAAAGCCUAAAAUAUUUACCAUGCUCCUCACAGUGGAGUUUGCCAGCCCCUGCUCUGGAACUCAAAGUGCCGGGUCAUUCUGUAUAAGUUAAAGAUUCUCACCGUGAUGCUGAAACGGGGCCUCAGCAGGUCGGAGCCUCCAACCCCAGGUGCAGCAUUUGGUUUGGGAUGCGAAUGUGCAGCUUUGGAAGACAACCCCACGCCCUCCAAGGGGGUCUGUGACUUCAAAACCCGAGAGUCCCUUCCCGCCGUGUUUCCCAUGCGGGCUGAGUGCAUAACUCACAGCAGCACCCUCAGCCGUGGGAGGCUGAUCUUGUCCGGCCUUGAAGGUCGUGCUGGAAUGCACUUCACCCUGCAGGGUGGGAGCGCUACACAAAGCACGAGGACUGUGGUCCUUCCCUGGGCAUCGCUCUCCUCCUUGGCUCUCAGGCCUGACUCCCCUGACCUGGUUUCCUCUGCCGCACAACCUCGCCUGGGUGCACUGAAUAGGGACCCUGCUUCAUGCCUCGAGCCUGCAUCCACAGCUUCCGGGAUCGCAGCCGGGGACCCCCACACACCUUGGCUUGACCUGAGGGGCUACUGCAGCCGGGGCCUCGGAUCCCUCCCUCCAAGCAUCUGUCUCUCUCCGCCCACUCGAGUCCCUUUUUAGCCCUGCUUUGUCAAUCAUGAUUUAUAUUUGAUCUUAUCAUCGAUGCAAUGUGGUCACCACAAAUGAGACAGUCACAGGCUGCGCAUGUGGAGAGAGUAAACAGCACCCAGAGAGAUCCUGGCUUUCAUCUCAGGGGGCCUGUGAGAACCCAGCAGAAAGAACCGGACAUCUGAACCCUGGACCACAGGUGUCAGGUGCAGCCCCUCCCCGCACUGCUGUGAAACCCAUAAGCAGAGCAUCAUCUGCCUUCCAUACAAUCUUGAAUCAAUAUAAUGCCCCAACUGGGACAUAAAAGGGAAGAAUUUAUGGUGAGUUGAUGUGCACUUCCUUGUGAAUGCCUGGUACAGCGACAGUAGAAGACAAAAUGAGGCAGGUGGACAUUCACGCCGACUUGUUCGAAAAAAAGUUUAGAUUUAAGUGAAAUAAGAUAAUAUUCAACUGACGCUUUUUAAAUUACACUUGACAUUCUGAAAGGAAGACCGCAUGAAUUUGCUUAUAUGUAAGCAGUCGCCGGUAGGGCAGCAUAGAAACAGUCAUCCUCCUGUUCCUGGUUCCCAGCGGGCCUGGCGUGGAGAAGAGAUCUUCUGACACGCACAGUCAUACUGUGUAGAGUUCCAAGGUUCAGCCUUCCCCAGAGUAACAGGCAGCUGCAUUCCUGGAAACGCAGUGACGAUCGGAGCAUGUGGCGCUUUGGACUAGGUGUUCAGCCUUCGGGGUGCUGGCAGACGUCCUACCACCCUGCGGCGCUGCCUGGUCCUGGGAGGCACAAGGCUGCUGUGCUUCCAGGCCUGGCCCCUGGGGGUACUCCCGCCCCUCCCUGUGAGGACCGAAAGGGCCUGGACGGCUGCUGCAGAUCCACAGAGAGCUCCCCAGGCCGCUGCCCCCGCCACGAGCCCCCGCACUAGCGUCCGUUAAAACGCUGGCUAUACCUGUGUCUAAUGGGAGCAGACAGUGAGUACAUACGCAGAUGGGCAAGAAUACCAAGGGGGUUUGGGCAGAAGGUGGUAAAUUGAUGGGACCCGGCUCUCUCCUGCUCCUCAGUGGGGACAGGAUGUGGGUGACAGACGCGAGGGUGAGGUCCCUGCGACCUCCCCUCUGUUCUCCUCACAGGACCCAGCACAGUCCUUAGGACACCUGUGCUAAACUUAGCACCUCGCUCUGCUGCUGCUCACGCUAGCCAACCACUCACCCCAGACAGAGGGCAACCUCCGCCGCGGGACUCCGGGCGUGCCCUGGGCUGUGGUCGCAACGAGCACACCACACAGAUGUCAGCAUGUGCGCGGUGCCUGGUACAGCCCACGACGCUGUGGACACAACACAGCAGCGUGGUCUGGGUGGCGAGGGGUCAGCGUGCCCGGACCAGCCGGGAUCCCAGAGAUGAGCUGGAGGCUGGGCACGGGAGGGGAAGCAGUGGAGCAUUUCCCACCCCUCGGGGGACCUUGGGGCUGGAAGGGGCCCAGUCCCCUCCUGCAGCAUUGUGCAUUUCCCUCGGCAAAUCUUGAAGGAAUGAACAAGCAUAGUUACUGCAACUGAACAGGCAAGUUUUAGGGCUGGGGACUUAGCUCAGUGGUUCUGCUGCCUGCCUUGCAAGUGCAAGGUCCCGAGUUUAAUCCCGGUACCAAAACAAGAAGAAAGAAUAGAUAAGUUUUGCUGGUUUUGUUUUUUGUUUUGUGGUGCUGGGGAUAUCGGAACACAGGACCUGUGCCUGCUAGGCAGACGCUCUCCCUGCUGAACUGCGCCCAGCCCCAGCCCCAGCCCGGGCCACGCUUCGUAGAUCCCUGGCGUGGUGGCCAGCAUGUGGAAAAUGCAGCAUGAAGAGCGUGACAGAAAUGUGUGAUGAGCAGCCUGGUCUACACCAGCAACGUCUGCCAACGGCCCUCUCCUGGGACAGAGGAGCAAGGGCCCAGGGAGCAGCACACCAUAGGGUCCCCAGGUCCUGGCCCCGUGCAGUGCCUCGGGCUGAGCCGCUGUUUCUCCACUCCUUCCUCCGUAGGACCAUGGCAGGUCCCCUUGACCUCCUCGUGGGCAUGGUGCUCCUGGCCAGCCCUGCGCUCGGGAUCCCGGCCUGCUCCUCCGAUGGCCAGGUGGCUCUAUUUCGUUUCCUGCAACCUCACCCAGGUCCCCCCAGGUCCUCAACACCACCAAGAGGCUCCUGCUGAGCUCCAACUACAUCGGGACGGUCACAAGCACGUCCUUCCCUUUCCUGGAGCAGCUCCAGCUGCUGGAGCUCGGGGGCCAGCUGACACCCCUGACCAUCGGGCCAGAGGCCUUCCGGAACCUGCCCACCCUCAGGAUCUUGGACCUGGGUGACAGCAAGAUGCAUGCCCUGCAUCUGGAUGCUUUCCAGGGUCUGCCCCAGCUGCUUGAACUUAGACUGUUUUCCUGUGGUCUCUCGGAUGCUGUGUUGAGAGAUGGUUAUUUCAGAAAUUUAAAUUCCUUAACCCACUUGGACCUGUCUGUAAACACGAUUAGCAGCCUUUACCUUCAUCCUUCAUUUCAAGGACUAAAUUCCUUAAAGUCUGUGGAUUUUCUUUCAACCAAAUCCCCACUCAUAUGUGAGGGUGAGCUCAGCCCACUCCAAGGGAAGACGCUGUCUCUUCUCCGCCUCAGAAUGACGAAGGUGUACAUGAGGGGCGUGGACUGGGGGAAGUGUGGGAACCCCUCCGAAGCCUGCAGCUGGAGACCCUCGACGCUUCUGAGAACGGCUGGACCGUGCCCAUCAUGGGAAACUUCAGCAACGCCAUUGAGGGGAGCAAGGUUUCCUCUUUGAUCCUUCAGUACCACAUCAUGGGGGCUGGGUUUGGCUUCCGUAACAUCAAGGAUCCCGACCGGAGCACGCUUGCAGGCCUGGCCAGAAGCUCGGUGAGGAGCCUGGAUCUCUCGAAGGGGUUCAUCUUCUCCCUGAACCCCCGGCUCUUUGAGACGCUCAAGGACUUGAAGGUCCUGAACCUUGCCCACAACAAGAUAAACAGGAUCUUAAAUGGGGCCUUUGAAGGGCUCGAUGGCCUCCAGGUCCUCAAUCUGUCAUUUAACCUCCUGGGGGAGCUGUAUAAUUCCGACUUCCGGGGGCUGCCCAGUGUAGCAUACAUUGACCUUCAGAGGAAUCACAUUGGGAUCGUUCAGGCCCAAACCUUCAGAUUCCUGGGGAACCUAGAGACCUUGGAUCUCUCGGGACAAUGCUCUUAAGACCAUGUCUUUUAUUCCGAGCAUACUUACUGUCUUUCUAGGUGGCAACAAACUGGGGACUUUGCCACAUCAAUCUCAGCGUUGACUUCAUGCAGUUAUCAGCAAACAGGCUAGAAAAUCUGGCCGAUCUCUACUUCCUCCUCCAGGUGCCUCAUCUCCACACGCUCAUCUUAAAUCAAAAUCGCCUUUCCUCCUGUCCACCAGGCCUUAGCCCUGCAGCGAGCCACAGCUUAGAAAAACUUCUCCUUGGAGAAAAUAUGCUGCAACUGGCCUGGGAAACUGGGCUCUGCUGGGAUGUUUUUAAGGGACUUUCCCGUCUCCAGGUUCUGUUUCUGAAUGAUAACUACCUUAAUUUUCUCCCACCUGGGGUAUUUAGUGAGCUGACUUCACUAAGAGGACUCAGCCUCAGCUCCAACAGGCUGACAUCUCUCCCUGCCGGCAGUUUUCAGCCAACUUGGAGUCCUUGGAUCUCUCUCUCUGAAACCAGCUCCUCUCUCCAGAUCCCAGCUUGUUUGCAUCACUGCAUUUCCUGGACAUAACCCAUAACAAGUUCAUCUGUGAGUGCGAGCUGACCACAUUUAUCAGAUGGCUCAACCAUACCAGUGUCACUCUUGAGGGGUCUCCUGAGGAUGUGUCCUGUGCAUACCCCGCCUGGCUCUCAGAUGUGCCCCUCUAUUCUCUCUCCACGGAGGGCUGUGAUGAAGAGGAAGCCUUGAAGUCUGUGCAGCUUUCUCUCUUCAUCACGUCUGCUGUCACCGUGACUCUGUUCCUCACAACUAUCCUCGUGGUCACAAAGCUCCGGGGUUUUGUUUCCUGUGCUACAAGACAGUGCAGAGCCUGGUGUUGGGCGACCGACCCCUGAGAAGAGACCCCAACACGUUCAAAUACGAUGCCUAUUUCUGCUUCAGUAGCAAAGACUUCCUCGAAUGGGUUCAGAACGCUUUGCUUAAACAGCUGGAUGCUCAGUACAGCCACCAAAACAGACUUAACCUGUGCUUCGAAGAGCGAGACUUCAUCCCCGGGAGGACCACGCCGCCAACCUCCAGGCUGCCAUCUGGAGCAGCAGGAAGGUCGUCUGCCUGGUGAGCAGGCACUUCCUCCUUGACGGCUUGGUGCCUGGAAGCCUUAGCCUACACUCAGGGCAGGUGCUGUGUCUGACCUCCAGAGCGUGCUCGUGGUGGUAGUGGUGGGGUCGCUGUCCCAGUACGAGCUGAUGAGACAUCAGGCCAUCCGAGGAUUUGUGCAGAAGCAGCAGUACUUGAGGUGGCCUCAGGAUCUCCAGGAUGUGGGCUGGUUUCUCAGUAAAACUCACUCAGCACAUACUAAAGAAAGAGAAGGGAAGGAAGGGGAGACAGCGCCAUGCAGCUGCAGAUGGUAGCCUCCACCUCCUAGCAAAAACAGCAGCGUGCGGCAUGUCCCAAGCCACAAAAGCUCUGCUCUGUAUUUGUGCCAGCUUGUCAUCUGGGGUCCUUCCGGGGGUCUCUUCCUGCUAUGAAGACAGUGACUGUGUCUUGGUUUUUCUGUCGAUACCGUGUUUUGUCUCACUGCCCUCCAAAUGGAAAAGAACAGAUCUGGAAAACUGUAGCUGCGCCUGGCAGCUCCCGCUCACUGCUGAUUUCCUCUGACCCAGCGACGCCACUGUGUCCUGCUGUAUGAUGCGCAGUGUCCCCUGCGUGGCAGGGGCACCUCGGGAAAAGUUACAGAUGGCUCCAUGCUCUCGCUGGGCUCUGUUCAGGAACUGGCUGGGCAGAGACUCCGAGUGCUCAGUGCCCCACAAACCAACAUUGAACAGUAAACCAAGGGAAGAAGGGACGUGUGUAGGAAGACGCCCUGUGACACCAGGUACACUCGGUCUCGGGGAGGAGGUGGCCCUGGAGACGCUGGGGUGGGAAGAACCCAUUCUCCGGCCACACCACACUUCCUUGUCAGUGGGAUCUUUCAGCUGGGACUUGGGGCCUUCCCGGACCCAGCACCAACCCACCUUCUCUCUUUCCCGCCUACCACGCCUCAUUUAUCAACUAUGAGCACUGCUGUGAAAAGAAAACGGGCUCUUCUCGGGGUUCAGCUCGGCCCAGCGUGUCAGGGCAGCCGGAGCUCUCCCCACGUCACCCUCUAGCUGCAAGACCCGCACACCCCGAGGGCCCCUCUGCACCCAGUCGCCAGGCUCCGGUCUGGAUUUUUUAAUCCUAAAAGGAGCCUAUGUGCAUUUUGCAUUGUAAUCCUUUUUAUGUUUAUUACCGCAGACCUUUUUUGCAAAUACAUUAAGAAAAUUUAAACCAAAGGUGUGUCAUGAUUGCCCCUCGCUCACAUCCAGGAUGCCUCUACUGUCCCUCACCGUGACACACUCUCGUGCACACACAGACACACACAGGCCUGGCUCUCGGGACACUUCCCACCCAUGACACAGCUUGCCCCACACCUAGGGAUGGAACGGCUCCUUUGCAAACCCUCUUUCUGGAAUGUUCUCUCAUACCUUCCCGUGUUCUAUGUGUUCUUCAAGAUCCAGCCCCUACAGCCGAAGGGUCCCACUCAAAGUCCUCUCGAAUUUUUUGUGAGGACUCUGGACGCUUUAUCUGUUCUCUUCACAGUGGCAUCUGCUGCUGCUACCUCCUCUGUGAGCUGGGAGCCCUCUGGCCUGUCAGGUCCACAAGGGAAAGACACGUUCUCUGAGCCCCACCCCACACACCGUGACAGAUCACGCUCCACCUUCAGGCUGUCUAGAGCUUCCCGGCUGCACAGGAAUGACGGCCAGCAACAUCGAUGGCUCUUCAUGUCUGAAGAGGUCUAUGUCACAGCCUCUCCUGGCAUGUGUUGAAAGCACACACAGCGGGUGGCUCGCCUGGUGCGACACACUAAGGAAGCGCCUGCCCUCAUCUCCAGCUGGAGUGGAGGGGAGACCCGUUCCCAUCACGCACCCCAGGCACUCGGUAUCACCCGUGUCUCCAGUUCACCCAGAAACCUCUUCCGGCAAAGACCUGAAGUUUUCUUAAAAUCUCGUCAUUUGUCUUUUCUCCUGUCACUAGGAUCAGCAGCUGGAAUUCGUUUUGAAGCCAUUUCCCAAGUGUUUUCCACUUUGUUGCUACCUGGACACCCAAGGGACAGGCUGGUGGCGCCUCGUGGGAAGAGGGUCUGGCACGUGGUAGCUGGAGGUGAGGCUCCGGGAUGCCAACAAACUUGCCGGACGAGCACCGAGGUGCCAGCGGGGAGGGAGGGAAGGGCCGCGCUGCUCACUGUUCUGCAGGGUCCCUUCCCUGACCUGUAGUCCCCUGCUUUUGGGUCUGCGACAGGUAGCACACCAUGGCAGGCAGGUGUGCUGGAGCGAGAUGCCCACUGCAAGGCCGGAAAGCGGAGAAAAGACCGGAAAAGGAAGGGGCUUGGGUCUCGUGGAGCCCUCCGAGAGCACAGGCCAGGCCGGGCAGCACCCACGAGGUCCCGCCUCCCUGUGGCGCCACGGCGGGGACAACCCUUUUAACCCGGGCCUUGGGAGACAUCCCAGGGCCGAAGCUGACCAUCCGCAAGGCCAUCUCUUUGGGGUCAUGCUAAAACAGUGGGAGCUAAUCUAAGACGGCCUCCAGCUUACUGUAUUUGAAACAGAGACUAUUUAGAAACUUUAGAAUGCGUUAGGGCUGCUGAAAGCUUCAAAGGGAAUCUCACUCAUCACCCCAAAUACAGCCGACUUUGAAAAUUCCUUCUCAACCUCCUGCACCUACAGUGAAUAAUCUUUGAUAUAAUGUAAAAUGCAAGUGACUUAAGCUUGAAACGAUGGAAUAACACUGUUGGGAACACAGGUGAAAGCUAGAUGUCCAUCUACCACUAUAAAAAUUAUUAUAAAACGCUUAUAACAUGAAGUCCAGAAAUAACAUUCAAGUACAUACUUAGAAGACUGGAAAAGCCAGAAGAAAGAACUUCAGGAAUUGAUGGCGAUGGCCUGAAGGAGCUCUGCCCAGCUCUUCCACCGGAACGUCCAGAAAAGCUGGAGAAAUUAUUUUCGGAAUCUGUUUAAAGGCACUGGAGAGCUGCAAGGCCGUCAGCAGGGCCAAGGGCCAAGGGCAGAAGCGAGAGAGAGGAGCACAGUGCAAGUACGGCCUUCCGCCCGCAGAGGAGGAGCGUCACCGAGAGAGCGGGGGACGUUCUCUCUACACGCACUGAAAAGGAUUCCUAGCCGAUUAGGGACACAUGUCUACAAACCAAGAAGGAAAGGCAACGGAAAAGAAAAGUGGGCAAGAGGACUCAGAAUUUCACAAACGGAUAUCUAGUGUCCAGCAAGCAAAUGAAAAGGACUUUGACCAGUUUAGUCGUCAGAAAAAUGCAAAUUAAACCCCGUGUGCUGCCCCUACACACUGGUGAGCGGUUAAACAAGGGGGGCCAGCAGCAAAGAUGCAGAACAGCGCACCCUGCUGGCUAGUGGGGAGUGCGCAAUGGCGCCACCCGCCAAGGCUGACCUUGUGAUGGGGCGGUGUGUGCGCACAGGUGUAUGCUCCACAGAACCCAGCAUACCCCCAGAGGCCACAGCAAAAUGUUUGAGCAGCGUUACUGUGGUGGCCGACACUGGAAAUGCCCGCGUGUCUGUUAGCCGUAGAGUGGAUGGACGGGGUAGUUGGAAACUAUCAGAGAUGACAACCAGCUCCAGCUACGUGCAGCAGCACGAGUGACUGCACAAAAUGUUAGGCCACAGAGAUAAAGCAUCAUGAUCAUAUAUGGAGUGGCUCUGUCUUUCCAUGUUUCAGAAAGACAUAACUCACCUGUGGUGACCAUGGCGACGACGGUGGCCGUGGACAAGGAGGGCAGGGGGCUGAGGGGCUUCCGAGGGGCAGUUCUGCCCCAUUCUCCUUCCUGACUGGACGGUUGGUGACAGGUGAGCUCACUUGGUGAUGGUACAGGGUCAUCAAAAUAUACAGCGAACAUUUAGCUUAAAAAUGGGUUACAACAAAACACACACUGCCAUGGAUUCCCCUCACUUCCAACACGCUUAAUCCCAUUGUUCCCGCCACUUUCUGAAGCAGUUCUGCAAGUCCUCUGUUGCAAGUGUCUCUUCAUAGCUGCCCCAAUGUCCUGAUUUGGGUCAAAAUGUUUAUAGCAAUUUCUGUCCAAUAAAAAUAUGACACUGUGUCUUCAUCCACCUUAUCCACUGGCUCUGGCAUCGUGACUUCUGGCUCUUCCCCAAAGCCCAAAGUAAAAAUAACCCUAAAAGGGAAAAUGGAGGCAGCCAGGACAGCACAACUCAAGUCACUCAGGAAAGAGGACUCCAGAGCUGCUGCAGAAAGUGGCAGGAACAAUGGGCUAAGUGUAUCUGUAACGAGGGGAUGGAUUUUGAGGGGGGAUUUGUGGUAAAGUGUCUUUUACUGUAACACUUUUUUCCUAAUUUAAAUAUGAACUGUAAUUUUCAAUAAUAUAUCAUAUAUUUUAUCUGUAUCAAUUAAUUCAUUAACUUUUCUGUAGGGAUUUUUCUUCAAUUUAAAAAUAAAAAAUUUAAGGGCCGGGGAUUUAGCUCAGUGGUUUUGCCGCCUGUCCUGCAAGCACAAGGACCUGAGUUUGAUUCUCGGUACCAGAAAACAAACAAACAAACAACAAUAACAAAAUGUAAAAUCAGGAGAUUUGCUGUAGUUGUUAAAGGAAUAAAAGACACGUAGUGUUCUGACUUAUGUAGAAUGAGUGGGACACUCUCCCUCAGAUCCCUUAUUGUUCCUUAGGGGCUGCUCCUGGUGCACUGUCUCCCCUGCUUGGACCGAGCACCACUAGGAGGGUCAGAGGACUGUGGCUUCAUUGCCAGGCUUUGGUAUCUCCUCCUGUUUAACCGUGCAAGCGUUUCACUGGCAGUGCUCAAAACAGGCGAAAAGAAAUCGGUACUUACACAGAGUAGAAAUGGUAACUUCUGCCAGUGACAGAAGACAGAGAAUAGAGAAAACUAGCUAGAAUUUUCAAAUUAAACCACCAACAAAGGAAAUAAAACUACUUCAACAGAUGAAUAUACA